GUUAAACAGCCGAAUCUAGGGGUAAUAUCGCUACUGGAAGAUUUUUCUUCGCUUUCUCAUAAUACUGGCAGCGUCCUGCAACUGGCUAUUUUGCUUUACAGUAAGAAGGGUGUUUUUCCUCCUCUGACAGAUCAAUGUUUUCUCCUGAGGAAAAAAAAAGGAGGAAGAGCCUGUCCUGGAUGUCUGAGGGAGGAAUAAACGUAGAGCUUAAGAAAAAUUUUGUGGAUGAAAUUUUCACACAGUUGUUUUUCCAGUACUGAAAGGUUUUGACCUUUCAAUAGAGAACUGAUUCUGGAGAACAACUUACUUCUGUAAUUGAAAAAUUCUCUCUGGAAAGCUGAUGGAGCAUGAGAAUGGAAAUCUAAGAACACAGAACAAAACGAGGAGAAGAAGUGUGCAAUAAUACUCUACAGAUGCAAGAAUCCUUGAAGACACACGCAGCUGUGAGGACCAAGUUUUCUAGGAUUCAUUGUUCUGUACUAAAGUUCAAUUUUUGGCUUUUCACCCAAUUGUAUAUCAGACUAUGCAGCAUUAGACUACAAAAUGACAAUUUGAAGAGGCUUAUGCUUCCAUACAGUAAAAACAUAAUGGUAAUAUAAUGGUUGAAAAAGUAGCAUACCCUGAAAGAUUACUUGCUGCAAGAUAUUGACUUGAUUCAGACAACAUACCAAUCUGACUAGCUGGAGUGCUUGCAAAUCAGUGGAAAUGGCCAAGAACGAAGCAAAUUAGAAGGACAGUCGGAUUAAUCUUGGUUAUCUUACUUCCCAGUUUCCAGGCAGUGCACACUAAAUGCACACAAAGCAGGGUGUUAUGAGUUUUUCAUUGGUUCAAAAAGCCUUCACUCAGGGUUUUGCAUUUAGACUCAUAGACUAUCAGAGUUGGAAGGGACCUCAGGAGAUCAUCUAGUCCAACCCCCUGCUCAAAGCAGGACCAAUCCCCAAAUUUUUUUGCCCCAGAUCCCUAAAUGGCCCCCUCAAGGAUUGAACUCACAACCCUGGGUUUAGGAGGCCAAUGCUCAAACCACUGAGCUAUCCCUCCCCCCCAAGUAUUAAAAGGCACAAUGUGAACAUUGUAGAAGAGUUCAGAAGGGAUGUUAAAGUAAUUAUUUACUGGAUUUAGUCUUUAUAUGCCUGGUUUUAAAUUGACAAAGUGAAUGAGGUAAUAUCUUUUAUUGGACCACUUCUGUUGGUGAGAGAGAGAGAGAAGCUUUCCAGCUUACACAGAGAAGAGUUCUUCCAUUGACCUAGCUGUUGCCUCUUGGAGAGUUGGAUUUACUACAGUGGCACAGCUGCAGUGCUGUAGCAUUUCUAGAGUGGACAUACCCUAGCACUUUAACUUCCACUGGCUUGCCCCUCUAAAUUGAAAAACAGACCACCUCUUUAAAUGAGUGGCUUCAAGGGCAUCUCUGGCAACAUGAUUUUAUUAGUCAUACUUCCAAAGGAUGGGGUCAUCAGAGGUAUGGGCCUUUGUGUGGACACCUCUGACUUCCAGCAGAUCUCAGAGACUUGAAGAUUCUGGGGCCUACGCCUCUGGGUGGUUCUUGCAGGGUGUAAUGCACUCUUCUACCUCAACUCUCCCCACUCAAAAAAAAUUCCAAGGAAACAUCAUAAGUAGAAAAAUGGAAGCUUCCUGUUCUUUCACAGUUGAUGAUGUCACCCUAUGUUGGAAAGAUUUUACACUUACCAGUUCUCAGCCUAAAAAUUGCUUUUAGAAAAUGUCGUAUAGAAAGGUUCUGCGAAGAGUGUAGUGUGACUUUAGAGUUGAGUAAAUACCUAACAUAGCAAAAACCUUCCAAAGCCUAAAAACAAGGCAAUUACAUUGAAUUUGGCCAGUACCUGAUCAUUAGUAAGAAAUGUGUUUCCAAAGGAAUUAAAUGUUGGCAGUAUUUAGCUAUUUUGAAUGUUUCUUUUGAUCUUUUAAAUAAAUUGGUAGCCAAUGGGCAUGAGUUUAUUUGGUUUAGUGGAGAACCCCUUUGCCACCUUUGGCCAGGUAGGUUUAAGUAAAUUUACUUUAUGAGUGGUUCAUUCCCUGAUCUGCAUCAACACUGUAACUCUUGGAGUGAAGGCUUUCUAUUUCCCCUCCCUUUCCUUCCUCAGUGUAUGAUUAGCUCAAUAUCUUCAGGUAGAAAUUUUCUACCGUGGCACACUAUUGCAGUUAGGUGCAUUUUGGUUUCAUUUUCACAGAGAGACUGUGUAGUCAGACCUCCUGUAUAAUCCAGCAUUAGUCACUGUAACAGGAUAACUGAGUAGAUGCACCAUUGGUCUUCAUCAGGGUAACAAGUCUUAAGACACCAUUCUUAAACACCAGAAAAUAAUGGAAACAGUGACAGGCCUUAGAAUCAAUCUACUAUUAGGAGGGCUUUGCUGGUUUAUACCAGUAUAGGUAAACUGGCAAAACCUUCCUAGUAAAGAUGCAGUUAUAUCUUUAUACUUGUUUCCUGAUUAGUAUAAGCACUUUUAUACUUUUAUAUGUGCCUAUACUAGAGCUUUUACCAGUAUAGCUGUAUUGGCAAAAAAAAAAAUCACACUCCUAACUAACAUAGCUAUGCCAGCAAAGCUUUCUAGUGUAGACCUGCCCUGAUGCUCCUAGGAGGCAAGUGGGUAAGGGAAAAUGACACGCGCACAAAUAUUUUCUGUAAAUAAAAUGGAAGAAUUUGCACUAUGUUUCCUUUGCCAGUGGUUCUGUUCCAUGUGAGGCAUGUUUUUUCUUCCCAGCCCUCAGUUUGCAGUCAUGGACUAUUCCAUCUCAAACUACCGAAGGCCAGGUCUACAUCAGAAACUUUCACUAGUAUAGUAACGUUAAUUAGGGGUGUGUAUGUUUUGACACUUCUAUACCAGCAAAAGCCCUAGUAUAGAAGCAACAAGUGCUAUUGCCAGUAUAGCUUAUUUUAUUUGGGGAACUGGUAUUAAUAUACCAGUGAAAAUACUUUGCCAAUAUAAGCAGUGUCUAGAGACUCUAGAGUAAGAGAGUUUUUUUUCUACACCUUGUCUAGUGUAGACUAGACCUGAAUGAGAGCCAGCACUCUUAUUUACUCUUGUGGGUUUUUCCUAAAGGGGUUGGGCUGCUUAAACUACCCCCAUCGCCGUGCCCAAGAGUAUCUCCUGUAAAUGCUAAGGUGGUAUCCCUUUUGAGAUAUGAAUUACAGUUUCUUGCUCACCUCUUCAAACUGACAGUUGUACUUAACCUUGAUUUUAACUUCUGGUAUUGUUAAAGAUGACCCUGAAAUUAUACCAAUAUCAAAAAGAUUUCCAUUCAAGGGAAAGAAGAAACAUAAGUUUGGGGAUUUUUUUUUAAAUGUUCUUUUAAUGUGAAGAUGAACUGAAGUUUUCACAUUAGAGAGAUCAGACUUAACUUCUAAUCAGAGAACUAUCCGCACCAUUUAAUUAGUCUGACAAGGAUCUGAAAUUUGGACCAUAAAGUUAUUGUGUGCUAACUUGACAGGAAGAAAGUCCAAAGCUGACCUUAAUUGUAAGUGGAAUAUUGGUCCACUACUAAAAGUAGAUGUUAAUGAAGGAUUUGUAAUGUAUUAAAAUAGCUAAUGUCAAUUCUGUAAAAUUAAUGUUAAAGUUAAACAAGAAAAUAUGGGGUUUGACUUACAGCUUAUGCUUUCAUUCCUUUGAUGUUUUGUAGACACCUUGGGCUAACGUAGCAGCACAUAAUGGUUUGUGGGUUUUGAAAAGGUGCAGGCCAUAUUGUGCUGCCUCAAAAAUGCAAGGAUUUCAUCCUCCUGAAGAGAAAUGUCACUUAUGAAUUAACAUGAUCCUGAUGUCAGCAGUACAUUAGCAGCACGUAAAUAUUGGCGUUAACUCUGUAAAUAUCUCCAGUAUUAACUGUGCUGCUGAAGUAAAGUUGGCCAUUCUCUGCAAAUGAUCCUAAGGAAGUACGUUGAUGUUGUCCGACUUAUCUCCUGAGUGUGUUAAUUUAUGUAAAAAAAUGAACUUUAAUAAAUCUUACUGUUUUUGUUCUAUAGUUUGAUCAGUUCAGUACAGAUUUUUAGAACCACAUAGAAUCUGGCAGUAAAUCUAGAACAUUUCCUUGAACACUGAAUUUAUUGUAGGAACUGUCUCAGACUACAGCCUUCUUCAUAAACAUUUAUUAACAAUUUGUUCACGUGAUUAUUGCACAAACUUAAAUUAGUUUAAAUAUCUGCAUGACUUUAGUAAAGCUAAUGAGAUUAAAAUUGUUUUGUUUUACUUUCACAGCACUUCCUAUACCGAUACAAAUUUAAAAUAUAUUUUGUCAAUUGUUCUACAAGUUCAUCAGCUUUAGCUAGAAUGACUUCAGAAACUCUUUUGAACAAAAGAGGCAGUGAAAAGUUAAUUAUUCUAAAAUUAUUUCUUGCAUUAUAGUAGCUAUAAAUAUGUAAAAAAAAAUUAGUUUAAAAAGUAUACUCUCUACAAUUGAUUGCAAUAUAACUAAUUUUCUCAUCUUCUACUAAAACAUUUCUUCUUCAGAGGAGUAUUGCAUUGAGACAACUGAAUCUGCCACAGUAAGGAUGGAAAUUACAUGAGUUUUUCCUUUUCUUACAUGCAGCUUUUAACUGUGUGUCCAAGAUCCAUGUUCUCCCCUAAGAUCACAGAAUCAUAGGACUGGAAGGGUACUCGAGAGGUUUGCUAGCCCAGACCCCGCACUCAAGGUGAGAGUAAGUAUUACCUAUACAUUUACUAAAUCAGAAACCAAAGACAAAGUAAAAAUAGCUUUUAAGAUAUAUAUAAUUGACAAGCAAUCAUUAAAACAAGCUAUAGUUAUACCUUCCCAUUGCUUAUAAUUGAAGAUUGAGAUAGCUAAAAUUUAUUUACAAAUCAGGGCCCAGAUCCUCACUGUGUCAAGUUCUGCUUGACAUAGCAGAAAAGAGUGGAGGCAAAGGUGGUUUUAAAUCUCUCACUAUCCCUGGACCCAUUGUGGGGAAGACCAGUCUCCAGCAAAAUUUAGAGUAGCCUUCUGGCUGCUCUAAAUUUUGCCCAACAACAGUGACUCCCAAUAGGCUGUUCUGCAGCCAGAGGUCACUGGGUACAACAUACUCUGGCCAUAUUCCCUCCCACCUUCCGCAUGCUCUCUGUGCCAGUGGGGACUUGCAAUCUUCCUCCCCAAAUAGUGCUGCAGCAGGAUUGAUGGGGGCUAUUUUGGGCAAAGGAAAUGGCAAACAACCUUGUGUGGGCAAGGAUUACAAUUUCUUUCUACUCUGUGGAGUGCCUAGUUACUCUGAUUCUUUAUUUCCUAAUCCACAAUUAGACUGCUCCAUAACUUGUGGUUAUUUGUUUUCCUUAAUGUUAUCAUGGAAAAUCCAAGUAAUCUGUGUUCCUUUCAAAUAUUUUUAAAAAGUUAGAAAGCACAGUUUACCCUGGAAUCUGUGAUGCUAUUACCCCAUCCAUUUAUAUUUAUCCUGCACAUUACCCUAUUGUUAAAAAUAUUCUCAAUCAAUUUCCUCAGAAACUGUGGUGUGACUCUGGUCUACAGUGAAGGUGACCUUUACGUCCUCUUCUGAGGAUGGUUAACUAUGAACAAUUGUCCAAUCUUGAGGAAUAUUUGGUGUUCUUAGGGAUAAUUGAAAAAUCUUUAUCAUGGUCUCCACGUUUUCACAUUUUAUUUCUUUCAGAGCUCUUGGAUAAAUAGCAUGUACUCCUGGAGAUUUACUGCACUUGAGUUUCUCUAGCUGCCCAUAACCUCUUCCUUAGAGACCUCCAGGUCUGUUAAAGCUAUACUCUAAUUUCCCGUAAAACAUGCCCUUGGGAUAUUAAUUUCUCUAUUGCCUUCUAUAUUAAAAACAAAUGAAUUAUUUGCAUUAAACUUCUGUAUAACUUUUCCAUUCUCUUUCAUUUCCCCCUUUGGUACUAUAUAGGACCUAAGGAUAGACAAAAAGCUUUCUUGAAUGAAACGUCUUUAAAAAAUCUAUUAUUUUCCUUAAUAUCUUUGGUUAUUUGUUCUUCAUAUUGUAUAUUUUCCCUUUUAAUUCCUGGGUCCAAUUUCUAGGUUUGACUAGGGCAAAAAGAAACAUUUCUUCACUUCCACAUGAGAAUGAAGCGUGAUGUGGAUGAAAAUUAUUCAUAUAGUGCCUGUUAUUAAAUGUUGAAUGGGUAGCUCUGAAUAAAGGUAAGGUUGCACAGCACUUUCCAUUAUAAGACGACCCUUAUUUCAGUGGUUUGUAACAUUGUUAAACUUUAACCAGUCAGGCUGAAGUUUCCCAUGUUGGGUGUCUGUCUCUGACUGAAUUUUUAUUUUAAAGUUUCUGCAAAACAGUUCAGCCAUUUCCAAUAAUAAGAUUAGAGGAAAAUAUUUUGUUUUGAGUGCCACAGUUACUGGUCUAACUGCACCUCUGAUGCCUCCUGGUCUCUUCGAGUGCACCCACUCUCAGGUCUCAGGCCUCACAUCACCACCUUUCUUGGGACAGAAUCACACAAUUCUCCCACUCUCAGAUUGAGUCCUGGCUACAAUCCCCUGUGAUUACCUCAGGAGGUCUAACAGACUCAGACCCUUCAGUUCUGUUCACUCCAAGAGCAUGACAGUAGUAAUAAGUAGCUAGGAAGCCUUCGUAAAGCAGAGUAUUAUUUAUUAGAAAAAAAGCAUUUCAAAUAAAACACAUUUUAGAAACAAUAAACCAGUCUAUACCCAUGCCUGAUUUUCCCUUUCGCUUACUGUUCCCUGGAUCUGGGAAAGCCCAGCUUCUUCAGGCUCCCUCCAUAGAGACUCUCCCUGCAUCAGACUGUCUCCUCGGUCAGUCUUGGUCAACUGACCACCGUUCUUCUCCUGAGAGGGGCUUUUUAACUGUUUGAUGUUCUUUUGAUCUCUAGGAACACAGCUUUGGUAAAACAAGGCUUGCAACUUGUUAGAGACAAGAUCCAGGAUCCUUGAAGCUAACAGGUUAUCCCGUUGUCUUUCAAGUGUAUGCGUGGAUGCUUCCAUCUGGUACUGGAGUCUGAAGGACUUAGACACAUGGUUGGAUGUUUACCUGAGCAUUUCCAUUGUGACAUCAAGAUUUUGGCAGGAUUUCACUAUGCUCAUAGGUCAACACUGCUGUUUCCCCAAAGGGCUCUGUGGUGCCUUAAUUUGCAAGACACAAUUUGUGGGUGAGAGAGACACGGGGGGAGGUGUGCACAUGGGUUUUACACUAAUCUAGCUCCAGUCUCCAGGGGCAUUCUGUCUGGGGGCAUAGACAAUGGAAUGAGUGUGCUGGAAAGCAGUGCGGGCCAUUUUUUCAAGCUGGAGCAUGUGCUUCACCGCACAGCUGCUGCAGUCUGCUAACCUGUGCAGAAGAGGAGUAAAGCCAGGGCAUUCAAACUAACAGCCCUGUAGUUUAAACAGCAGGACACUGGCCACAAGGCAUUCUCCGUAAGGGGUCUAUGAAUUAUAACUUAUUUCCUUUUUUAGUCCACUGGAUUUGGUGGCCCUCUUGGUAUGCAGCAAGAUUCGUCUAUUCCCCCCCAAAAUGUUGAGAUGGGAAGGCGGUUUGGGGGAUAGAGGGAUGUUCAUGCCUAGAUUAGCCAAUCCGCACUCAAUUUACUUGCACAAGACUCCUGAUCUCAAAGAGGCCCUGACCAGCUUUGGGCCUAGGGUUGCCACCUGGUCCGUUUUUAAAGGGUCCGGACAGUUUUUCUCCUUCAUUGCUGGUUGCAAUGUUCCUUUUUUCCUUACUUGUAAUUUACAAGUUAUUUGUAAGUUAUAAGUCAGUAACAUCUCCCUCCCCAUUGAAACCAGCAACAGCUGCUGCGCACAUGAGGUGGGGGGGGCGCACCAGCAGCUGCUUUCACUAUGGCAUGCAGGUCACAUAACUGCUGGGAGCACUCCUAGAGUGGCACCUGCAUUCCGCUCCAUAUGCCAGGCCCUCAACCUGCUGGCACGGCCGCUGAGGCUUCUGCUCCUCUCCUUGCCGGAAAGCAGGACACACCCUGUAAUGGCAUGCUAAAUUGUAUUUUUCUGUUCAGCCACAUGUAAUAUACCUUAACAAGCUCGCAACAGCUGAGCCAUUCUUGGCAGUACAUUAAAGGGUCUUAUCAUGAACAGAACUUAGAGGGAAUCUCUGUGACCAGUCCAUAUCUGGUACAGAAAGCUGACCUGUUAGUAGCAGCCCUGCAACCUACUGUUUAUACGGUGUACAUGACAUGGAGUCAGAAGCAAACUAGUGCCACAGUGAACAGAAACAGAAGGAACAAAGCAAUAAAGGUUGCAAACAGAAGGAGGGGAAAAAGCAACAAAUUUUGCAAGAUUUCAUUAACAUCCCACUGUUCAAUGCUCCAGAGAACUUCAGCUGUGAUAAACCUUCCCAAUGGAGAGACUGCAAACAGUAUUUUGCAAGAUUUCAUAUUACAACCAAACUCCAAAAGGAAACUGGAGAUAUUCAGGGGCCAAAUGAUGAAAAUGCCUUCAAAAAGAUAAAACUAAUAAUCUCAACAGCUCCAGUUCGCAAGUACUAUGAUGUGAACAACCCACAAGGGCCAGCAAGGAUGCAAGCAGCUAUGGCCUAGGUGGUAUACUGUGUUCCCUCUGAGGUGCGUGGCUGCACAGGAGUCCAUCAAAGGCCGCACAUACAGUACUGAUAUUUCCUCAUAUGGAAGUUUUCCCAUGACUUUCUCACAUAAUCCGAUGAAGUCACAAUGGCUCCCAGAUCUCAGCAUUACCUCGAUAUUUGUGCUGCACAUAACAAAAUUCAUUCUGCACAUGGAUGGAAAAAAUUAGAGGGAACAUUGGUGGUGUAUUGUUGCAACAACAUUGAUUUGAGUUAAAGCCAAUUAUAUUUUACUCUCAUACACUCACAGAAGCAUAAAAAUAAUAUAGACAUAUUGAAAAAGGAGUGACUGGCAAGCAUAUGGGCACGUGAGAACUUUUUUUCAUAUAUCAGUAUGGAUUAGACUCUUAUACAUCGAUAACAGACCAUAUACUGCUUUAACCCUCAUCCAUGGAAAAAUCCUGAAUCAAACACGAUGGAGACAUCAAUGUCUUUUGAUAAAGUUAAUGUGAUUUAACCCAUUUGCUAAAUAUGUUGCUGGGAAAAAUCUGGUGGUAGCAGACACUGUCACGGAGCCCAGCAUCUCAUUCAACUACCUGUGAACUAGAAGAUGAUGUAAAGCAGACAUGGAUGCUAUGGACACAUACACACCAGGAUCAGAAAAGAGACCACGCCAGCUACAACAAGCAACCCUGAGACAUACACACAACUUUUAAGAAGUUCUAAGUUACAUUAGGCUGGCCCAAGUAUCUAAAGGAGACUAAGGAAGUGACAAGAGACCACUUUGUGGUACGUGGACAAUUAAGUGAUUCAGAUGGACUCAUAAUUAAAGGUGACUGCAUCAUAAUUCCAAAUGAAAUGAGGAGAAAUCCUAAAUCUUUAUAUCUUUCAUGGAUCAGGACUAACUAAAUGGGCUAACUAGUCAGUGUGGAAGCUGGGCAUCAGCAAGGACAUAAAGAAUGAAGUAUCUGCAUGUGAACAUUGUUUGCAUUGUGUUGGUCUGUUAGUUCUGCAAUCUUUGAUAACAGCACCUCUACCAGACUGACCAUGGAAGACACUAGCUGCAGAUGUAUGCAGAUUCAGAGGAUAUCAUUACUUGGUAGUAGUGAACUUUUUUCGGGUAUAUAGAAAUAACAUACUUGAAAGACAUAACAUGUUGCAGUGUUAUUGAGAAACUGAAGUGCACUUUUGCUCACUUCAGCAUUCCAGAACAACUAAUAACAAACAAUGGACCACAAUUCAUUGCAGCAGAACUUGUCAUUCCGAACAAAAUAUGAUUUUGAUCUUAUUACUAGCAGCCCACAUUACCCAAAAGAAAAUGGAAAAGCUGAGAGAGUUGUUCAGGCAAGAAACUCCUACGGCAGGAAGAUCCAUUUCCUUGCUCUUCAGAGCUAUAAAUCAAUGCCAAUAGUAGUUACUGGAUAUAGUCCAGCACAACUCCUGGUGGGAGAACAACUCCGAACUACUGUUCCAGUUUUGGUAAAGAACCUAUCUACAAAGUGGCCAGCCAUGAAGAAAGCUGCCAAAUUAGAUUAAAAGGUAAAAAGAGCUUACAAAUGCUUUGGCAUUAGAUGUUACUCAGAGAAAUGCCAGGUCUAGAACCUGGUGACCAUGUUUGUGUUAAACUGGAUGGAGAAAAAGGAUGGAGAACUUCAGCUGAUGUAAAGAAAAAGAACUGACUGCCCAGGUCAUAUGUGAUAAAGAUCACCAGUGAGGAGCUAAACAGAAAUCUUUGACAUCUACAGUGUGUUCCUCAGAAAGAACAAUUAACCUGUAGAAAACUCUACAGAUGGUGGAUGCAGAAGAAGAAGAAGACUCAAAGAUUCCAAACCAACCAGAAACAGUCUUUGCAACUGAUAGACAGCCAGAUGACUGAGUUGUUACACAUUUGGGUCAUCUCAUUAGAAAACCAGCAUGAUUCAGAGACACUUAAUAGACUGAUCCAUAUUGAAUUUUAAGAUAGUAUGAUAUUGUAAAUGGUAGAAAUGUCAUACAGUAGAACCUCAGAGUUACAAACACGUCGGGAAUGGAGGUUGUCCAUAACUCUGAAAUGUUCAUAACUCUGAACAAAACAUUAUGGUUGUUCUUUCAAAGUUUACAACUGAACAUUGACUUAAUAAAGCUUUGAAACUUUCCUAUGCAAAAGAAAAAUGCUGCUUUUAACCAUUUUAAUUUAAAUGAAACAAGCACAGAAACAGUUUUCUUACCUUGUCAAAUCUUUUUUUAAACUUUUUUUCAUAGUUUACAUUUAACACAGUACUGUAAGGUACAGUAUCUGCUAUAUUUGUUUCUGCUGCCUGAUUGUGUGCUUCCAGUUCCAAAUGAGGUGUGUGGUUGACCAGUCAGUUCAUAACUCUAAUGCUCAUAACUCUGAGGUUCUAUGGUACUUAAAGGGGGAGAUGUAAUGGAAUGCUAAAUUGUACUAUGCUGCUCAGAGACUAGGUGGAACCAUGUUUAACAGACUUUACCAUAAGCUCACAACACCCAUUCCUGGCAGUGUAUUAAAGGAUCUUAUCGUGAACACA
This is a long non-coding RNA of Chelonia mydas (Green sea turtle), 10965 nucleotides long. RefSeq lists it as uncharacterized. The record is from RefSeq and is a predicted model, not a curated record. Lineage: Eukaryota; Metazoa; Chordata; Testudines; Cheloniidae. The transcript has 10 exons.